AUGGUUACUCCUGCUUCUGCCCGGCCUGGUUGGGGUCGUUGGGGUCGUCCUUCUGAGAUCCGGGCCACGUUAUUGCCCGUGUGCACCGGCAGCAGUAGUGACAGCAAGGACGGCGACCGGCAAGCGAGGCGGGUGAGCAGAUGGAUAUCCGACGAGCUUCGAAGCUGGUCAUGUCGCUUCGUCCAUGGCAGGGUCAGCGGCGCUCGUCCCCCUGCGUGCUCGCCUGACUUUAGGGGCAAAAGCAAAAGGAAACAGGCAGGGCAACGGUACAACAAAUUCUUGAACACGGAUGGGCGCACCUGUAGACUAGGACCUGAGACUUGGUGGGAGUGCGGUGCACAGUUGGUGGUGAAAUUUGAAAGAUCACAUGGAGUUUUGCUCAUCGCGACAUUUGUGGAUGAUCACAACCAUGUGCUAGCUAGACCCGACGAGGGGUUAAUAACCAUUGUUGCACCACAGUUUUUGGUUACGCCAUUGUGUCUGACCAGACUGAAACCAUUCGUCCCAAGGGCUCUCGCGACCACGUCGCCCCCGCGGGCGACCGGCCGCAUCCCUAGCAUCUCCUCCCCUAGCCCCCCUCCUGUUCCUUCCUUCCCGCCGCCGUCGCUGGCGUCUAGCGCCGGGCCUGACCCGGGUGGUGCCGGCAGCAACGACUGCUGGCCUUUCCCCUCUCGGUGUCGUGCGAACGCGUGGUGUAGCGGCUCAGCAGGAUGUGGGCCCUUUGUGCCCCAUCUGGGUCAGCCGGGCCGGCGGCGGGGAGUGUCGGCGGCGUGGCUUCCUGCAGGCGAGGGAGCAGCGAUGGGCGGGUGGGUGCUGGCGGCGCUGGCGCCGACCUACUGCAGGAGGACCGGCGGGGCUUUGCAGGCCGGGUAUGGACUUGGAAGGGCUAGGGGUGCCCUGGUAUGCCCCUGCUGCCGCGUCCGGACGUCGACCGUGACGGUCCGGAGUCACGGGCCUCUCGCACGACGGCGGUGGAGGGUGGUUCCCUCCCGCGUGGCUCCGGUGCUGCUACUCUCGAUGCCUGGUGCUUCUUCAUCCUCGUCUUGUCCUCGUGGUGGUGAUUUCAGUGAAGCGGCAUGGGUGGCGUCAAGACCGCGGUGGCGCAUGCUGCGGAUCAGAGCCUUGGUCUGUGAUGGGUCGAACUUGGAGGGCGCAGCGGUGGCGGGUCAUUCGCGCUUUGUCGAGCUGCCGUUGUUGGCCUUACUAGCUACACACACACCUUACAACACGGCCGGCGACAAAACCAAAACCAUGGAAGGAAACAAGCCGAUCUGGCUCAGCAAAGAUCAGGGAGGCCUUGUUACAUGUGCCAGUCAAGCGGCAAGGCUCGCCCACAUCCUUACGCUACUGUCGUUGCUGCUCGUUUCUUGUGGAGUUGGCACCAUCCGCUGCUCCUCAACGACUACAGUACAUGAUAACAGCACAGACAUUACCUCGCUGCUAGAUUUCAAGUGGGCCAUCACCAGCGACCGCAGGCAAGCCUUGAGAUCUUGGCACGUCGGCAUCCCCCAUUGCAGUUGGGAAGGCGUCAUCUGCAGUCUUAGGCACCCGGGGCGCGUCACGGAGCUGAACCUCACUGGGCUAGGGUUGUCGGGCCUGAUUUCUCACUCAAUCGGGAAUCUAACGUUCCUUAGGAUUCUAAACCUGUCUAUAAACGACUUCACUGGGGAGUUACCUCCUCUCAGCCGUCUCCAAAGACUGAAGUACCUCCACUUGAGAAACAACUCAUUGCGAGGGAUCAUUCCAGAUACUCUUACAAAUUGCUCGAGUCUACAGACCAUAAGCCUACGUUACAACUUACUAAUAGGUGCAAUUCCCCGUGAUAUAGGCCGCCUAUCCAAUUUAGUGCUAUUAGAUGUUAUCAGUAAUAAUCUCACAGGAACAAUCCCACCAAGCCUAAAAAACAUUAGUCAACUUGAAUCUAUCUACCUUGAUGAUAAUAAGCUCACUGGAACCAUUCCUGGUGAGUUGGGAAAACUCCCAAAUCUUUAUCGAUUACUCCUUGCUGAAAAUAGGUUAUCUGAUGGAAUCCCAGAAACCUUAUACAGAUACAAUCAGUCUUCUCUUCAAGCUUUAGACAUGAGUUUUAAUAUGCUUGGGAAAACACUGCCAUCUAACUUCGGUGACACCCUCCUAAAUCUUGAAUUUCUCUUAUUGAACGAUAACAAUUUUGAAGGUCAUCUCCCAGCGUCACUAGGCAAUAUUUCAGGGCUAGAGUGGUUAGACUUGUCAUUCAACAAUUUCGUUGGUCAAGUUCCAAGUUCUUUUGGUAAUCUUGGACUGUUACAACGCCUAAACCUUCAGCAAAACAAUUUGUCGGGCUUCAUCCCAACAGAGCUGGGUGGCUUGAAACAGCUCACCCAUCUGUAUAUGUCUGAUAAUAAUCUGGAAGAUUCUGAGUUUGUGUUUCAUAGUGAGAAUGUGGCUGGGCCUUACCAUGGAAAAUGCCUGCUGAUCACGCCAAAGGACGGCAUCAUCCCUGCAACACCUCAGCACACGGUGGAGGGAGUGGGCCUGCCUCUAGAAAACUACUGCGUUGAGAUGUUUCCACAACUGCCAGCAGCACACGAGGACGAACUCACCUGGUGA
Molecule: ribosomal RNA, 2589 nt
Filed under: Triticum aestivum (bread wheat)
Lineage: Eukaryota; Viridiplantae; Streptophyta; Magnoliopsida; Poales; Poaceae
Description: partial small subunit ribosomal RNA
Source: RNAcentral